RNAcentral lists this long non-coding RNA (1862 nucleotides) under Homo sapiens (human). RNAcentral describes it as "HSALNT0379686". Lineage: Eukaryota; Metazoa; Chordata; Mammalia; Primates; Hominidae. The record is from RNAcentral.
GUGAUAUUAAACUAAAUUUGGAGGAUUCUAGAAUUCUAGAUUGGCUGCCUAUGAUGACAGACCUCUUUUGGCUCCAAUUACUCCCUCAUUUUCAGGUGACUCAGAGAACUUCAAGUGACCAGCACAGUGGUACAGCCCCACUUGUCGUUAAUGGCCAGCCAUAAAAGAACCCAAGUUUCUCAGCUCAUAGGCCAGGUUCUUCAGUGGUUGUCUAGUUUAAGGCUGGUCAUUAGCAAUAUUAUGGACGACCUAAGUUCCUCGAACUUAUGCAGUUUAUAGCUUUUUAAGAAUUUAAGAAGUGGAGAAGGGGAAGCAUGAGAAACUUAAAGGAUGCAAAUUGAGCAUCUCUUAAAAUAUAAUGGAUUUGUGUAGGUGAAACAGAUUUGUUGCCAAAAGUUAAUUUGUGCACAAGUUAUCAGGAACACACUUGAUAAAAUUAGAUGCUGAUUAAUUGGAGAUACAUUGUAUCCAGAGAUACACAAGAAUCCAGAGGAAAUAAACAGAGAAGGAGAGGAAAUGGAGUCUUGCUCUGCUGCCUAGGCUGGUGUGGAAUGGCACAAUCUCGGCUCACUGUGACCUCAGCUUCCCAGAUUCAAGCGAUUCUCCCCCCUCAGCCUCCCAAUCCCCCACCCCCACCCCUGCGAGUAGCUGGGAUUACAGGCACCCGCCAUCAUGCCUGGCUAAUUUUUGUAUUUUUGUAGAGACGAGGUUUCACCAUGUUGGCCAGGCUGGUCUUGAACUGACCUCAGGUGAUCCACCCACCUUGGCCUCCCAAGUGGUGAAAUAACAGGUGUGAGCCACCGCUCCCCAACUCAACCCAAAUUUUUAAAAUGGGCGGAGUAUUUGAACAGGUUCCUCAACAAAGAAGAUACAUGUGGCAAAUAAGCGCACAAAUGAAUGCUCCACACCACUAGUAAUUAAGGGAAUUCAAUUACUACUUACUGGAGGCUAAGAGACCAGUUAGGGGGUUACGGGAGAAAUUGUGAAUUAAAAUUAUGUAUGAUAGUAGCGGUGGGGAUGGAGAGGAGAGGAUAUGAGGAAUAUUGAGGAGAUAAAAUUGCAAAAGCUUCACACUUGGUUGGAAGUGGAAGCUGACGUGUAAGAGAAUCAGCAAUGAUUCUCAGGUUUCCAACUUGAGCAAAGGGGCGGAGGCCACUGAUAGACUCUGAGGUCAUAAAACACAAGGUGGAGCAGAUCUAGGCGGGUAUGGAGGAAGAGAUGUGACCAUUGAAGUAUUUUCUUUGUUGUUGUGUUGUUGGAAUAUUUCAAGUCAAAUCCCUGACAUCAUGUUGUUCCAUCUCUACACACUUCAACAUGUAUCACUAAAAGUAGGGACACUUUCUCCCAUAAUCACAUUGCUGUGAUCGCUCCUGAAGAUGUGCUCAAUGAUUCUGAUUAUCAUCCCAUACAUAGUCCACAGUCAUACAUACUUGAUUAUCACAAGUAUUUCUCUUUUUGCAGUCUGUCUAUUGGAAUCAGAAUCCUGACAAGGUCCACCCUGCACACCACUUUCUCACAAAGGUCCUCUCAUCCUGAGCAGUCCUCCCUGCCACUGAUUUGUUGUCCUUCAUAAUGUCCCACAAUCUGCACCUGUCUUUGUUCUCCCUCAUGAUACUGCUUCACUUCUAUGCCCUGAAUUUCCUAUAAUGGGGAAGGAGCUCUGAAGCCUGGUUGUAGGAACACUUCAUGAACAGUACUGUGCAUGGCACACAAUCUCUAGCCAUCCCACUUGUCACGCUAAAAUCGAUGACUCGCUUCUGGUAGUGUCAGCCUGACUCUUUGGACAUGCUGAGUAAGCAGAGCGAGAAAGGAAGAGGGCUUCGACCAGAGGAAGAGGAGCAGAGAAAACAGGGAAGGAGAAU